This 631-nucleotide long non-coding RNA is filed under the name Elaeis guineensis (African oil palm). RNAcentral describes it as "long non-coding RNA (EGUI_LNC065735)". Lineage: Eukaryota; Viridiplantae; Streptophyta; Magnoliopsida; Arecales; Arecaceae. The record is from RNAcentral.
CUAAACUAUUUUUUUCUCCCCGGCUCUGUUAUCAACCUAUGGAAGAGAAAAGGAUCUGACUCAAUAAAAAUUAAAAACUUAUGACUUAAACUACACCUCCCUCCUCGGGCUCUGAAUGAACCGUUAGGGGAGAAGGACCUCCCUUCACAGGCUCUGAUACCAACAUGCACCACGACACCACCUAGCACCAUGAGGUAUCAGAGCUCGGGGAGGGAGGUCCUUUUCCCCUAAUGGUUCAUUUAGAGACCAGAGAGAGAGAUGUAGUGUAAGUCAUAAGUUUUUAAUUUUUAUUGAGUUAGAUCCUUUUCUCUGCCAUAGGUUGAUAACAGAGCCUGGGGAGAAAGAAGUAGUUUAGAAAGAUCGAGGUUUGAUGAGCAGUAGGGGUAUCAAAUAAGAUUACUUAGGCUUGGUCUGAGGAGCAGUAUCAAAAAAUCUAGACUUGGUUUAGAGAGAGAAAAGCUAAGCAUUUUGGUAAAAACAGAGAUUGAUGAGCAAUAAGGGCAUCAAUCAAGAUUACUUAGGCUUGGUCUGAAGAGCAUAAGGAUUGUAUCACUGACGGAUGGUCUGAUGAUGGAGACUCGAAUGUACCUUCGGGUGUAGGACUGCUUCAGGACAUGCCAUUAUUGACGAA